GAAAGAAUGGCUGAUAAUAGGCGAUAGAUUGUAAAUCUAUUUAUGGGGCUUAGCCCCUUCUUUCA
RNAcentral lists this transfer RNA (65 nucleotides) under Siphluriscus chinensis. RNAcentral's name for it is "tRNA-Tyr". It matches the Rfam family "tRNA". From Rfam's summary of the family: Transfer RNA (tRNA) molecules are approximately 80 nucleotides in length. The record is from RNAcentral. Lineage: Eukaryota; Metazoa; Arthropoda; Insecta; Ephemeroptera; Siphlonuridae. RNAcentral also lists the same sequence under 1 other name.